UAUAACUAACGAGGAUGGGUGAGAUUCCCUACCGGUGGUAAAAGUCCACAAAUCCAUUUGGAUUGAUCUGAUGCAAUGCAGAACCGACAGUAAAGUCUGGAAGGGAGUUAGGUUAU
Molecule: non-coding RNA, 116 nt
Filed under: Halanaerobium saccharolyticum
Lineage: Bacteria; Bacillati; Bacillota; Clostridia; Halanaerobiales; Halanaerobiaceae
Also listed under: 1 other name
Description: FMN sequence
Rfam family: FMN riboswitch aptamer (RFN element)
About the family: The RFN element is a highly conserved domain that is found frequently in the 5'-untranslated regions of prokaryotic mRNAs that encode for flavin mononucleotide (FMN) biosynthesis and transport proteins. This element is a metabolite-dependent riboswitch that directly binds FMN in the absence of proteins. In Bacillus subtilis, the riboswitch most likely controls gene expression by causing premature transcription termination within the 5' untranslated region of the ribDEAHT operon and precluding access to the ribosome-binding site of ypaA mRNA.
Source: RNAcentral